GACGAACGCUGGCGGCGUGCCUAAUACAUGCAAGUAGAACGCUGAAGGAGGAGCUUGCUUCUCCGGAUGAGUUGCGAACGGGUGAGUAACGCGUAGGUAACCUGCCUGGUAGCGGGGGAUAACUAUUGGAAACGAUAGCUAAUACCGCAUAACAGUAGAUGUUGCAUGACAUUUGCUUAAAAGGUGCAAUUGCCUCACUACCAGAUGGACCUGCGUUGUAUUAGCUAGUUGGUGAGGUAACGGCUCACCAAGGCGACGAUACAUAGCCGACCUGAGAGGGGGAUCGGCCACACUGGGACUGAGACACGGCCCAGACUCCUACGGGAGGCAGCAGUAGGGAAUCUUCGGCAAUGGACGGAAGUCUGACCGAGCAACGCCGCGUGAGUGAAGAAGGUUUUCGGAUCGUAAAGCUCUGUUGUAAGAGAAGAACGAGUGUGAGAGUGGAAAGUUCACACUGUGACGGUAUCUUACCAGAAAGGGACGGCUAACUACGUG
RNAcentral lists this ribosomal RNA (495 nucleotides) under uncultured bacterium. RNAcentral's name for it is "partial 16S ribosomal RNA". It matches the Rfam family "Bacterial small subunit ribosomal RNA", at positions 28 to 507 of the family's 1533-position model. The record is from RNAcentral.